RNAcentral lists this ribosomal RNA (2920 nucleotides) under Staphylococcus aureus. RNAcentral's name for it is "23S ribosomal RNA". It matches the Rfam family "Bacterial large subunit ribosomal RNA". Lineage: Bacteria; Bacillati; Bacillota; Bacilli; Caryophanales; Staphylococcaceae. The record is from RNAcentral.
UUAAGUUAUUAAGGGCGCACGGUGGAUGCCUUGGCACUAGAAGCCGAUGAAGGACGUUACUAACGACGAUAUGCUUUGGGGAGCUGUAAGUAAGCUUUGAUCCAGAGAUUUCCGAAUGGGGAAACCCAGCAUGAGUUAUGUCAUGUUAUCGAUAUGUGAAUACAUAGCAUAUCAGAAGGCACACCCGGAGAACUGAAACAUCUUAGUACCCGGAGGAAGAGAAAGAAAAUUCGAUUCCCUAGUAGCGGCGAGCGAAACGGGAAGAGCCCAAACCAACAAGCUUGCUUGUUGGGGUUGUAGGACACUCUAUACGGAGUUACAAAGGACGACAUUAGACGAAUCAUCUGGAAAGAUGAAUCAAAGAAGGUAAUAAUCCUGUAGUCGAAAAUGUUGUCUCUCUUGAGUGGAUCCUGAGUACGACGGAGCACGUGAAAUUCCGUCGGAAUCUGGGAGGACCAUCUCCUAAGGCUAAAUACUCUCUAGUGACCGAUAGUGAACCAGUACCGUGAGGGAAAGGUGAAAAGCACCCCGGAAGGGGAGUGAAAUAGAACCUGAAACCGUGUGCUUACAAGUAGUCAGAGCCCGUUAAUGGGUGAUGGCGUGCCUUUUGUAGAAUGAACCGGCGAGUUACGAUUUGAUGCAAGGUUAAGCAGUAAAUGUGGAGCCGUAGCGAAAGCGAGUCUGAAUAGGGCGUUUAGUAUUUGGUCGUAGACCCGAAACCAGGUGAUCUACCCUUGGUCAGGUUGAAGUUCAGGUAACACUGAAUGGAGGACCGAACCGACUUACGUUGAAAAGUGAGCGGAUGAACUGAGGGUAGCGGAGAAAUUUCAAUCGAACCUGGAGAUAGCUGGUUCUCUCCGAAAUAGCUUUAGGGCUAGCCUCAAGUGAUGAUUAUUGGAGGUAGAGCACUGUUUGGACGAGGGGCCCCUCUCGGGUUACCGAAUUCAGACAAACUCCGAAUGCCAAUUAAUUUAACUUGGGAGUCAGAACAUGGGUGAUAAGGUCCGUGUUCGAAAGGGAAACAGCCCAGACCACCAGCUAAGGUCCCAAAAUAUAUGUUAAGUGGAAAAGGAUGUGGCGUUGCCCAGACAACUAGGAUGUUGGCUUAGAAGCAGCCAUCAUUUAAAGAGUGCGUAAUAGCUCACUAGUCGAGUGACACUGCGCCGAAAAUGUACCGGGGCUAAACAUAUUACCGAAGCUGUGGAUUGUCCUUUGGACAAUGGUAGGAGAGCGUUCUAAGGGCGUUGAAGCAUGAUCGUAAGGACAUGUGGAGCGCUUAGAAGUGAGAAUGCCGGUGUGAGUAGCGAAAGACGGGUGAGAAUCCCGUCCACCGAUUGACUAAGGUUUCCAGAGGAAGGCUCGUCCGCUCUGGGUUAGUCGGGUCCUAAGCUGAGGCCGACAGGCGUAGGCGAUGGAUAACAGGUUGAUAUUCCUGUACCACCUAUAAUCGUUUUAAUCGAUGGGGGGACGCAGUAGGAUAGGCGAAGCGUGCGAUUGGAUUGCACGUCUAAGCAGUAAGGCUGAGUAUUAGGCAAAUCCGGUACUCGUUAAGGCUGAGCUGUGAUGGGGAGAAGACAUUGUGUCUUCGAGUCGUUGAUUUCACACUGCCGAGAAAAGCCUCUAGAUAGAAAAUAGGUGCCCGUACCGCAAACCGACACAGGUAGUCAAGAUGAGAAUUCUAAGGUGAGCGAGCGAACUCUCGUUAAGGAACUCGGCAAAAUGACCCCGUAACUUCGGGAGAAGGGGUGCUCUUUAGGGUUAACGCCCAGAAGAGCCGCAGUGAAUAGGCCCAAGCGACUGUUUAUCAAAAACACAGGUCUCUGCUAAACCGUAAGGUGAUGUAUAGGGGCUGACGCCUGCCCGGUGCUGGAAGGUUAAGAGGAGUGGUUAGCUUCUGCGAAGCUACGAAUCGAAGCCCCAGUAAACGGCGGCCGUAACUAUAACGGUCCUAAGGGAGCGAAAUUCCUUGUCGGGUAAGUUCCGACCCGCACGAAAGGCGUAACGAUUUGGGCACUGUCUCAACGAGAGACUCGGUGAAAUCAUAGUACCUGUGAAGAUGCAGGUUACCCGCGACAGGACGGAAAGACCCCGUGGAGCUUUACUGUAGCCUGAUAUUGAAAUUCGGCACAGCUUGUACAGGAUAGGUAGGAGCCUUUGAAACGUGAGCGCUAGCUUACGUGGAGGCGCUGGUGGGAUACUACCCUAGCUGUGUUGGCUUUUUAACCCGCACCACUUAUCGUGGUGGGAGACAGUGUCAGGCGGGCAGUUUGACUGGGGCGGUCGCCUCCUAAAAGGUAACGGAGGCGCUCAAAGGUUCCCUCAGAAUGGUUGGAAAUCAUUCAUAGAGUGUAAAGGCAUAAGGGAGCUUGACUGCGAGACCUACAAGUCGAGCAGGGUCGAAAGACGGACUUAGUGAUCCGGUGGUUCCGCAUGGAAGGGCCAUCGCUCAACGGAUAAAAGCUACCCCGGGGAUAACAGGCUUAUCUCCCCCAAGAGUUCACAUCGACGGGGAGGUUUGGCACCUCGAUGUCGGCUCAUCGCAUCCUGGGGCUGUAGUCGGUCCCAAGGGUUGGGCUGUUCGCCCAUUAAAGCGGUACGGGAGCUGGGUUCAGAACGUCGUGAGACAGUUCGGUCCCUAUCCGUCGUGGGCGUAGGAAAUUUGAGAGGAGCUGUCCUUAGUACGAGAGGACCGGGAUGGACAUACCUCUGGUGUACCAGUUGUCGUGCCAACGGCAUAGCUGGGUAGCUAUGUGUGGACGGGAUAAGUGCUGAAAGCAUCUAAGCAUGAAGCCCCCCUCAAGAUGAGAUUUCCCAACUUCGGUUAUAAGAUCCCUCAAAGAUGAUGAGGUUAAUAGGUUCGAGGUGGAAGCAUGGUGACAUGUGGAGCUGACGAAUACUAAUCGAUCGAAGACUUAAUCAA